CUGAGUACUACACUCUCUACCCUUUGUGAACUAUUAUACCUGUUGCUUCGGCGGCGCCGCAAGGGUGCCCGCCGUCUCAUCAGAAUCUCUGUUUUCGAACCCGACGAUACUUCUGAGUGUUCUUAGCGAACUGUCA
RNAcentral lists this unclassified non-coding RNA (136 nucleotides) under soil metagenome. RNAcentral describes it as "partial internal transcribed spacer 1". The record is from RNAcentral.